CAGUCGCCGCGGGAAUACGUAGGUGGCAAGCGUUGUCCGGAAUUAUUGGGCGUAAAGCGCACGUAGGCGGCUCCGCAAGUCGGAUGUGAAAUCCCUCGGCUUAACCAAGGAAGUGCAUCCGAAACUGCAGAGCUUGAGUACUUAAGAGGAUCGCGGAAUUCCCGGUGUAGAGGUGAAAUUCGUAGAUAUCGGGAGGAACACCAGUGGCGAAGGCGGCGAUCUGGGAAGAUACUGACGCUGAGGUGCGAAAGCGUGGGGAGCAAACAGGAUUAGAUACCCCCGUAGUCCCUGUCUCUUAUAC
Molecule: ribosomal RNA, 301 nt
Filed under: uncultured bacterium
Lineage: Bacteria
Description: partial 16S ribosomal RNA
Rfam family: Bacterial small subunit ribosomal RNA
Source: RNAcentral